AAAAAUAAUCCAUUUUCUAUGUUUGGUAUAAUCUGGAAGUGUGCAUGAAAAAAUAAAUUUUAAAAUCAAGUUUCCCAGAGCAACAGACUCUAAAGUUGUCUAGUGUAACAUCAGCGGUGAAAUGCUGCCACUUGAAAUGAUAAUGCACAGUUGUUAGGACAGGUCACGGACGAAUGGCUGCCAGCAGCGGGAUAGCCACCCCUGCCCUCUUUUCUAGCACGGUGGCUGCAUAAGCUCUACAGUCCCACAUGUUGAAGGGCCCAGUGCUCCGUGAAUGAUCUAGUGCCACCUUCAGAUCCAUAAUGACCUUUGCGCAAGCGCCUCGUGUUUGUUUCCAUUUUGCAGAGGUUUCUGAGAAGCCACUGUCUUAGUUGCUUUCCCAUUGCUGGGACCAAACACCCCGUGCCUACCACUUAUAGGAAGAGAAGUUUACUAGGCCAUUUCCAGGGCUUCAGUCUGUGGUUGGCUGACUCCAAGAUAGAAACAGUAUGGGUGGGCCUGGAGGAAGCCAACAGCUCAACCCAUGGCAUCCAGGAAGCAGAGGGCGAAGGGAGGAUCAGGGAAAAGAAUACAGCUUUCCAGCUAAGGCCCGCGUUGCUGGCCUCCAACCUGACCCCACCUUCUGCAGCACAUUCAGCUACUGAGCUCAGCCAAUGAACCCACCAGCUGGCCUCAAACUCCUCAGCUUGAUCCUCCUG
Octodon degus (degu) is the source of this 698-nucleotide long non-coding RNA. RefSeq lists it as uncharacterized. The record is from RefSeq and is a predicted model, not a curated record. NCBI's taxonomy places the organism in Eukaryota, Metazoa, Chordata, Mammalia, Rodentia, Octodontidae. The transcript has 3 exons.